Molecule: long non-coding RNA, 524 nt
Organism: Mastomys coucha (southern multimammate mouse)
Lineage: Eukaryota; Metazoa; Chordata; Mammalia; Rodentia; Muridae
Exons: 6
Source: RefSeq, a predicted model, not a curated record
CAGGUGGAUAUCAUGUGAGGACUAGGCAAGGAUAUAGCCCAUACCCACAUCUGAGAGCUCUGCUGCUACAGGUGCCAGAAAGAGACAGAAUUUCUAGAAGCUCCCAGGCCAGCUAGCCCGGCAUAUGAAGAACAAGGAGACCCUGUCUCAAAUUGAGUAGAAGGACACACACAUGCCGUGUCAUCGACUCAGUGACAGAUUACGACCUGCAUCUUAGUCUCUGUUAUGUGGCUGUGGCUCACAGCAGCUCUUCUCUGUGUGAAGCCCUAGGCGCAAAGCUUGAAAGAUGUCUAUGGGAGUCAUGAGAUAACCAUCCACAGGCACGAAAGAUGAACUGUGGCUUUCAUUCUGGAUGAAGGGAAAUAAACCAUGCAACGCCUGUACUGACACAUCACACCUAUAGCAAGACCGAAUGGGCCUCCCUGUGUAUCGCUGGGUAGCCAGGAAUGCUCUAUGUAAACCAAUCUUGGCCUUGAACUCAAGAGAUCCAUUUGCCUUUGUUGAGAUUAAAUAAAGUUGAGUGC